AUGAACGCUGGCGGCGUGCCUAAUACAUGCAAGUCGAGCGAACGGACGAGAAGCUUGCUUCUCUGAUGUUAGCGGCGGACGGGUGAGUAACACGUGGAUAACCUACCUAUAAGACUGGGAUAACUUCGGGAAACCGGAGCUAAUACCGGAUGAUAUUUUGAACCGCAUGGUUCAAAAGUGAAAGACGGUCUUGCUGUCGCUUAUAGAUGGAUCCGCGCUGCAUUAGCUAGUUGGUAAGGUAACGGCUUACCAAGGCAACGAUGCAUAGCCGACCUGAGAGGGUGAUCGGCCACACUGGAACUGAGACACGGUCCAGACUCCUACGGGAGGCAGCAGUAGGGAAUCUUCCGCAAUGGGCGAAAGCCUGACGGAGCAACGCCGCGUGAGUGAUGAAGGUCUUCGGAUCGUAAAACUCUGUUAUUAGGGAAGAACAUAUGUGUAAGUAACUGUGCACAUCUUGACGGUACCUAAUCAGAAAGCCACGGCUAACUACGUG
Molecule: ribosomal RNA, 496 nt
Filed under: uncultured bacterium
Lineage: Bacteria
Description: partial 16S ribosomal RNA
Rfam family: Bacterial small subunit ribosomal RNA
Source: RNAcentral